UGGGUUGUGGCUCAGUGGUGGAGCGCUUGCCCAGUAUGUUUGAGGCACUGGGUUUGAUUCUCAGCAACACAU
RNAcentral lists this transfer RNA (72 nucleotides) under Marmota monax (woodchuck). It matches the Rfam family "tRNA". Rfam says of the family: Transfer RNA (tRNA) molecules are approximately 80 nucleotides in length. Their secondary structure includes four short double-helical elements and three loops (D, anti-codon, and T loops). The record is from Rfam by way of RNAcentral. Lineage: Eukaryota; Metazoa; Chordata; Mammalia; Rodentia; Sciuridae.